This 431-nucleotide long non-coding RNA is filed under the name Gallus gallus (chicken). Lineage: Eukaryota; Metazoa; Chordata; Aves; Galliformes; Phasianidae. The record is from RNAcentral.
CUGCUUGAUAGGCAACAGAAUAGUGACUGGAACUGAAGACAGAGGAAGCUGGGGUCUGCUGAAGCUUUGAGGGCCACGUGGGAGUGAUUCAUUCAGCUGCAAUUUGCACACAGCACAUGGUGAAGGAACUCCGGGUAAAGUUCUCUGCUGUGCUAUCAUCUGACCUGUAGCAUGAUGGAGGAGUCUGGAGCUGCUUGUAGUUCAUGUCCCAUGUGAAGCCACCCUUGCAAGGCAGUGCUCGGCUCAGUGUGCCCUUCUCUCCAAUCCUGGAUGAUCAGCCUGGCUCAGCUGCUGGCAAUGCGAGCAGAAAGACUUUUCCUUCUCCUGUGUAACUUAUUAUAUGAAAUAGUUUCUCGGGAGAACAGAAUUGAAGCUAGAUUUCCUCAAGCCCACGUGCCAGAAUGGUCAGCUGCCCAGUGGUCCAUGUAUUG